Molecule: transfer RNA, 73 nt
Organism: Camelus ferus (Wild Bactrian camel)
Lineage: Eukaryota; Metazoa; Chordata; Mammalia; Artiodactyla; Camelidae
Rfam family: tRNA
About the family: Transfer RNA (tRNA) molecules are approximately 80 nucleotides in length. Their secondary structure includes four short double-helical elements and three loops (D, anti-codon, and T loops).
Source: Rfam
GAGGGUAUAUCUCAUAUGGUACAGUGUAUGCUUAGCAUGCACGAGAUCCUGGGUUCAAUCCCCAGUAUCUCCA